This 23760-nucleotide long non-coding RNA is filed under the name Triticum aestivum (bread wheat). Its description in RNAcentral is "long non-coding RNA (TAES_LNC007712)". The record is from RNAcentral. Lineage: Eukaryota; Viridiplantae; Streptophyta; Magnoliopsida; Poales; Poaceae.
AAAGAUACAGAGGUAGUAAGUUUUAGUGCAGGGACAAAUUAAGUAACAAUCCACAUAAACAAUGGCACCUUUCAUGGUCUACCACAAGAAUAUUGUUUCUAAAACAUUUGUUGGAAGGAGCAUCAUAUAUCAUAGAAGAUGUAAAGAGGUAUUACAACGACAAAACGGUUUAUCAGGAGAAUCUAUCGUUGUUCCCUUGUUUAGGGACUAGAGCAUGUCAUCCUUUCAUGCGUGUAGUUCUAUCGAAGAUUCAGGCGGCGGGCACUUGGGAUUGCACUUAAGGCAUUUAGACUUGAACUCAUCCAAAGUCUUGAAACAUGGGGUCUCCCGGAUGUCACAGCAGUAGCAGUCACCGAAGUCGCAACUCCAUUUGCCGCACAAUAUGACGGUAAACUUGGCAUCAUCUAACGAUGAUAUCGCGUUGGCCACGGUAGCAUUGUUAUCGCCACCGUCUAGAUAGCUUCGUUUUCCAGCCUCCAUACGACCUAAAAUUAUGCAUGUAAUGUUUUUAAUUGUUAGUCCUAUAAGAGAGAGAGAGAGAGAGAGAGAGAGAGAGAGAGAGAGAGAUUGAGAGAGAGUCCAUGCGUGUAAAAACUGAAGAAAAUAAAACAAGGGAAGAACCAGAACUAACACUGUGCAGUGACCGUGAGCCAUCCCACGAACAAGAUGGCCAUGGCAUGAACCCCUCUCAUUCUGGUUUAAUCUUUACUGAUUGCUUAGUCGAUUGAGUCAACUCUCCGCAAUGGGGUGGGUUACGUGAGACGAACAAGGGAUGACCAUGGCUGCGAUGACCCGAUCAUUAUAUAGAGGGUCAAAAUCUUAAUUAAGUAGGAGAUAAUAUUCCAAUUAAUUCUAAAGAUUAUUUGGUGCCAUAUAUACGUCGAUAUUAAUUAAUGUCGGAUAAUUUACAUCCACCCAUAUAUGUCGCCCUUUGGGUAAUUUGGUUCCAAAAAGUUGGUUGUGUCAGUCAAUCAAUUAUCUCCCCAAAAUAACACCCCAAAAAUUCACGCAUUGAUUGUUUCGAAGAAGAAGAAGAAGAAGAAGAAGAAGAAGAAUGCUAACCGAAACUACUAACUGGAGGGAAGGCAUCAUGAUUCCCCUCCCAAACACCGGCUACCGGAGCGGCAGGCAAUUGGAUCCAUUGACUCGUCGGUGAAGUGUGGAGGUGAGAGUUUACCCUAGCCGUCUAGGAUUAAGGGAGGUAAAUAACAUGUGGUCUCUUCUAGGGACAUAAUCUCAUUCAUCUUUUUAUGGAAACAACUCUAACAUUUGCAAAAACUAUGUGAAAAAACUCCCUCACUUUUUUUGCUUGUACUUCUAGUAGAAAAUGCUUUCAAAAAACACUGUCACUAGAAGGAUUACAUAUAGAAGCAUUGUUUGUUUUGUAUUAAAUAUUGGUUAACUGUCAUAUAUGUUGUGACACGUCUUAUGUCUCAUAUGCACACAACAUAUAAAAUAAAGAGUAAAUUCAAUUUUUCGCGCGGCAGGCGUGAUGAGCAAUCUCAAAUCAUUGAAAAAACGAGUAAAUUCCCUUUUUACCCCCAUCGAUCAUUUACGCUUGUGACAGAAUUAGUCCCAGUUUAGGAAAACUCUCAAUUUAUACCCUCAUUUAUCACCUUUGUGCCACAUUUUACCUCUUUGCAAUUUUUUCCAAUUUUGUGCUAAGUUGGCAUGGCACGUCAAUGUUUUUUUAUUAUAUAUUUUGCCUAUAGUUCAUUUCUUUUAUUUGACCUUGAGGUGGGUCACCUGUCAUUAUAGAAAAAAAAUGGUUGGGUACGCCCCGAACACAUGACCUCCCUUGGGGAAGACUUGUACAGGAUCUGUUCUUAGGUGAGAUCAAUGAAAUCAAUCUUUUUGAAGAUACAAAACAUGUUCAAAAAUUCUGAAAAAAAAGUGGAGACCUACAUCAAGCUCAAAAAGUUUCAGCUCCUAAUUCGAACUGCACUUAGAGGACCAAAAAAGACAAAAUCAGAUGUGAAUAGUGUCAAAUACUACUCAUCCCAAAGCGGACACUAUUCAUAAUCGAAUUUAUCUUUUUCGAAUUUCUAACUAUAGAUUGAGUUUUGAGCUGAUUUUUUUUGGAGUUGUAGACAUACCCCGCAGGUAUGUUGUACAUUCUUUUCAGAUUUUUUUUGGAUUGUCUAAUUAUGAAAUGUUUGAGUUGAUCAUAUGAUCUCACCUCAAGGGUUGAUCCUAUACAAGUUCUCUCUGACCUCCCCUCCUCUUCUCUUCGGGAGGGACCACAAUAAAAUUUGUCCCUUAGAAGCAAAAUAGAAAGAUUGAAGUUGGUCCGUUGGAUUGAGGGUUGAUGGCAUAGACUCCAUUGGAGGGAUCUAAGCCCACUUAAAUGUACAUUUCACAAACCCCCCCUUUGUGAAGUUAGAUAUGUCAAACGCCUUUUGCAGUUAUGUCCUUCAGCAUUUCAAUUUUGCACAGCGGUAAUGCCUAUUCUCAUAGAAUCCACGCAUAUUUAGAUACAUUAUUAUGCAAGAAAAUUGGGCAUGUUGGUCACUACAAAGUAUAACGGUAUUUAUCACAAAAUUUGAGUACACAACAUCAACGACAACAGAGCUUUAUCACAAAUAUUUUAGUACAUGACAAAACUGAGCCACCCCCUUCAAUCAGAACUAAACGUACAUGUCAAUCUAGAGCAUCCCUACCAGAGCACAACACAAGAGACAUACAUAAAUAUCAACAUGGGAGGAUCUUUGGUACAAGAACGGGUCAUGUUGGUGGUCGUGUCGAAGGAGUAUAGCUCGUAGAGCUCCUUAUGGUCUUUGACACAGCCGCCGAACAUAAAUGUCGUGCCGCUGACGGGAGGUAGGGGCACCUAGCCGGCCGAGUCGAGGGCAGACCAGGACUGCGCCUUGAGGUCGAAGGCAUACAUGGUGUUGGCCACUUGCAGGUGUGGGGUUAACUCGCAGCCGAAGGAGUAGGCCGUGUCACCGACAAGGGUGAUCAGUGGCGGAGGUAGAGGGUGGCCGGGGUGGGCCAUGGCCCACCCUGAGAUUUGAAAACAACAUUUGUAUCGUAGGAGAAAAGCUAAAAAGUAAAAGGAAAAAAAUAAGUGUAUAUGUACAGUACACUGCUGGCCCACUCUGGCCCAGUGGGCUAGGUCCGCCACUGAGGGUGAUGGUACGGGAGCAUCUUGUUCCCGGCCCAGCUCCCUAUGUUCCAUCCAUGUGAUCAAGUAACUCAAUGGUUAACCGAAGCAAAACUACAUUCUGCAAAAGAGAUUCAUUUUUAAGAAUAUCUUGAAUAAUCUUCCCUGUCAACAGACGAGAUUCAUUUUUAGGAAUAUCUUGAAUAAUCUUCCCUGUCAACAGAUGUAAUUCAAAUAAUUGGUACCACAAACUAGUAAGAACUCAUAAUAUUGUGAAAUCAAUCUGUAAAUGACCUUGCAGUAAGCAUAAAUGAAAGGAAAAAAAUCCAAUACUAAAACCAACCUUAGGAAGCCAUACUACAGAGAUCAUACCGUGCCUAAUUUUUGCCCAUCACACCUGAGAUUUUCUAAAAUCUCCUGGUCUCUAAAAUCUCCUGGUAAUAUGUGUGCUAAUCUAAUUCUAUACAGCUGAGAGCUGAUACCUAUCAAAAUUUUCUUCCUCACAUGGCCCUCAAAUCGUUCAAAGACAGUCUUCCUUUCCCCCCUUGUGUACAUGUAAUCAAGAAAAUCUAUGGGUCUGCUCGGUUGCAGGGCCCUGCAGGGUUUGGGUGAUCAGCCAAAACCUGCAGGGGUUAGUUCCUCUAUGGGAGCAAAUCCUUGUCAGGUUUGAGCCAUUUGGUUGAUCCUUGCUAAAGAGGGAUUUUAUCUCCACGUAUAUAAUCUCACAUAUGGUAUAUAUACUCCAUCUAUGUGCUGAAGCACAAUCAACUAGAAAAUUCCAAAUUCAGAACUAUCAAAUACAGUUGUUCGCCACGGCAUAACAUUUUGAUUAGCCAAAUUUCAGAAAAAAAGACUAGCAGCCAUAAUCAUUGUACAACUUUUAUUAUUCACCUCGGUUGAGCUCCUGCCGUGCCGAACAAACGGCGCUCAUCUUGCCAAUAUCGCAUACAUCAUGGAUGGAUGAGUUAUCUGAAUCCCUCUGGCAAGGAAAUAGGAGAAUUAGGAAACAUGGCAAUGUACAUGCAAGAGGCAACAAUGCCAAAGCACAUUGUUAAUUAUAGGUUUCAGAAAUGAACAGAAAGACCUAAAGUUUAGGCUUACAAAAUGUACAACUUAUACAACUUGACAUUUCUCCCAAACACUUAGUUCUGACUAUAGUACAGCCAGUAUACUUGAUCCCUAUAGGGCAGCUUGUAUAGAUAAACCACAUAAUGCAUAAGAAACAACAGAAGAACACCUGUUGGCAAGUAAUUUUUACUGUUCUUUUAAGAAACAAUUAAAGAACUCAGGAUUGACUUCUUGCUAGAUUGUAUUUCUUCUUAAUGUACACUAUGCAGACUCACAUUUUGGCACGACCAAAAGAGAACUGAAAAUAGACUUCGGAUAUUCCCGUCUAAGAACGAGAUUUGUUAACAAAAUGGAGUGACUAAUAACUGAUUAACUAGUGCACCUGAAGCAUUACUUAUCUUUUUUUUUGCGGAUGCAACAUUACUUAUCUAGAAACCCAUAACCCCAAGCUCUAGAUAUCCUAUCUCAGAACAACAAUACAAUCAUGGUAUACAUUCAGCUUAAUUUUGUUCUGUCUAGAACAAAAAUGGAGUGACCAAAUAAGAAAGGAGUUCAACACACAAUAUUUCUGUCCAAUAUAGAUCUUGAGACUAGGUUUACAUAUUUCUGUUCAGAACAUCGAUGAUGUAUGAAUAAUUGUUUCUAGGCCUAUAAGUUUGAUCUCUUCUAUCACUAAUUUGCGCACAAAUCCUUCGGGUCAUUAUCAUUUCGUCAUUAGUCAGCCAAAUGUAAGUUGUGGUCACUCCAUAAUAUCAAACUCAACCAUUUUCCCUACUUCUAUCACCCUUCCACAAACCUAACUAAUUUACAUUAAUCUGGCAUGUAUGUGAAGUUUAUCUCAGACCAUCGCAGCAUAUAUGCUUAACUUGAUGCUAUUCGCAUACUAAUAUCUUUAGAAGUGUUGAUGCAAAAACCUUGCAACCCUGUAGUUCACGCUCAUAGUCAAAUUAUUUGAUAAAUUAACCCACAGAAUUGUAUAGAACUACUAAGACAAGGAUCCGGCAAAAACUCCGAUAAAGGGUGUUUCUAUUAACUCAAAACAUACCAUCAACUGGAUACAAAGCAUGAUGAACAACACCCGACCUGUGCAUAAUUAAGAGGCACACAACCAAAAACCAAAGUCUCGCAAAAGAAAAUCAAAAAUGGACAUAUCCGCAACAGUAGAGUCAUAUGAGACCGACACUAUGCCUAUGUCGAAGGAGGUGGUGGGCCGAUCCAAAGAUUAUGGUGCAACCCAUGUUGGGUGAAAACUUCCUUGGCCACCCACUCCAACCACAUACACACCAUCUUGAACAGCAGUUGUUGUUCGGUGUAACAUAGACCACAUAAAAAAGCAAGCUCGUAUAGUGGAAAAUAAACUAGAAAAAGAAGAUCAGAUUUUGCCAUGUUAAAAUAUUUUAUUCCGAUUGGAUUCGGUUAACCUGACACAAGGACGAAUGUGUUUCGCUGGAAUCUCACUCUAUCUGGGUCUUUAACAGUCGACUCUAUGUAUUGCUCACGCAUUCAGAGAUCCCAGUGGAUAAUAGUAAAAAAAAUUGAAAACCAAAGGUUCUACAAAAAGUUCGCGUGACUCUGGUUCAUUUUCAUGCUAAGCUCGCGUGACAAAGAGUGAUCCUGAGACGUCUUUUAAUGCAUGGGUGCUUAGAUGAGGUGCUAAGUGCAUUAAAAGAAUUAGCAACUAAACUACUAAUGCAUAGGUGCUUAGUUUUUAGUUGCUAAGCUUCCUUCAUUUAAUUAGGUAUAGACUUAGAUUUGUGUUUUCACCUAGGUACACACGCUUAGCAUGCAUCAUCUCCUCCUCAGAUCACCAUACUACUCUCUCUUCCUUCUUAAUUAAUAUGCCACAUCAGAUUUUUUGCUUAGCCGGCAAUUUUUAGCAUUUGAAGAGGCCUGAUCCACACCACUUUUGUCACAUGUCGACCUAGUACGAAAUUUUGAAACAAGAUGGCAAAACAAAAUGAUUAACCCUUCAACUUGAGCCGCAACAACACGUACAUACAUUUGUGUGGGCGAACAAACAAACACAGCAGCCACCUGAUCCAACAAGCCAGUAUGCCACAUACGUAGGAAAGCCUGUGAGCCAAAGAUCCUUUGCUCGUUGACAAGGAGAAGAUUUAUAAAAGAACAUAAUGGGAUGUUGUGGUGAGCGACUUUGGGGCAGGCAAAGCGAAAAAAAGUCGAUUUGUUACUAGAAGUAAACCUGGCUACACAUAACAAUUUUGGAAGUACCACAACAAACCAGCAACGAUGGAUACCACAUGGAAGUGUAAAGCAACAAUAUAACUAUUUUUGCCGAAAAAACUUUCGAUCUAUUCAUCAACUAUCAAAGUAAUAAAAAAAUAUCAAAAAUAAAAUUCACAUCCAGAUCCGUAGAACACCUAGCGACAACUACAAGCACUGGAGCGAGCCGAAGGUGCGCCGUUGUAAGGGCAUUCUUGUCCCUUUGUAGCUUUGGUGAUUAAUGACAAUGUUUUUGCGGACUAAUCAUGUGUAUUGAGUUUUUCAGAUAUAUCAUGACUAAACAAAAAAUGAUUUGAUGCCCCUCGAAGAUUAUUGAAGACGGCGUUUCUCUAUGGUUCUUUUCGGUGGAGUUGAGUCGUAGAAAAGUCGUACUAUUAAGAGGGGGUCCGCUUUGAAAAGGUUUGGGUGGAAUCUCACGUACACGUCCCUUUUGCACUGCCUUUCCUUUGGCUCUUUGGAGUUUCCUCCGUCUCACCUUGUCUCUACAAAAUGAAGUACUCCGAGUUGCUCUUCUUAGGCUAGCGGUAGUACUGCUCCUCUGAGCGGUACUACCGCAGGAGCCAGCGGUAGUACCGGGCUCCGGCACGGUAGUACCGUGGGCCUCUACGGUAGUACCGCUUCUCCUGAGCGGUAGUACCGUGAGUUCUGGCUUGGCGCUGCUGCACAAGCGGUAGUAGGGACGGAUGUAAUUUUUUACAUCCGCGCCCUACGCGGUAGUACCGUGCUGCGGCGCGGUAGUACCGUGUCGCCUGGCCUUCACGGCAGCAGGAGCGGAGGUAGGGGCGGAUGUAAUCUUUUACAUCCGCAGCCUUCACGGUAGUACCGCACCCCUGGUUCGCGUUAGUAUCGUGUCGGAUUUUCGCAUCGAUAAAAUCUCAGCGGAGGUAGUCACGGAUGUAAUUUUUUACAUCUGUGCCUACCGUGCCUGGCCUGUGGCUGCCCUGCGGUAGUACCACAUAGGGCCGCGGUAGUACCGCGCCUGCGGUUCUACCGCGCCCUGUCUGCACUCUUUUGUUCAGGUCCAGGCUCUGCCACGCCCACGGUAGUACCGCGGUCCGCCGCGGUAGUACCGCAGGCCCGUGCGGUAGUACCACUCCUGUGGUGCGGUAGUACCGCUCCUGUGGUGCGGUAGUACCGCGGGUCGCGGGCUGAGUGGUGGGUAGCGGUUGGAUUUAUCCUGAUUUCAUUUCAGAAUUUCCGGCGAUACGUGUUCAGUGAGAGGAGACGUUCCCGUCAACUAUGAGGCGCCUAUGGCAACUUUGUAAAAUCUGAAGAUGCUGUGCCGGCUCGGUCUCUCGGAGGUGCUCAUAGGGGUAAGAUGUGUGUGUGCAUUCAUAGGGGUGAGCGUAUGCGCGUAUAUAUGAGCGCUUGUGACUGGACCGAUGUUCACAGAAAAAAAACAACGUGUCAGCCAGUCUGUCCACUUUUGAUUUUCUUUUUCGCAUUUUAUCCAACGCUUUUAAUAGUUAUUAUUUUGGUUUCCUAUUUUUCUUCUUUCUUUUCAUGUAUGUUUUUUUGUUUUUCUCCCUUUUUCCUUUUAUUUUUUAAAUUUUAAUUCACAAUAACUUUAAUAAUUGUGAACAACCAAAAAAAUCAUGAUUUUUAAAAAUCCUUGCUGUUUUUUUGCAAAUUUAUGAACAUUUUUAAAGUAUAUGAACCUUUUCUUAAAAUUCGUCAACACUACUGAAAUCAGCGAAAAAAUUUAACCUUCACAAACGUUUUUUGAUUUUUUUUUCAUUCUGAACAUUUUAAAAAAUCAUGAACAUCUUAUGAUUUAUUGAAGUUUUUCAAAUGAAAGAAAGAUAGUUGAAUUUUUUUCGAGGUAGCAGUGGAGCAAGCGUGAAAAAAGGUAAGUGGGUGAGAGGAGCAGGGAGCCGAGUUGGGCGAGCGAGAGCUUCAUGAACCAGCCCAUGUGAGUGUUAUAACAAAAAUUCCAUGUUUUCAACAUGGAAUAUGAUCUACCAAGGGGCAUCACGCACGCACUGCACAAGGCUCCUGCACACACUACAACAGCCUGGAAGGUGCUCACCUAGCUAGGUAGAACGAGUCGCCAUCAGAGGAGGACAAGGACCGGACCUCGACUGGGGUUCGAUCACCACGGCGACACACUUCACAAGGCCCGAUGUUCCGAUCCCUUUCCUGUUGGUAGCAUCCCAGUAUAGACAUAACACAAUCUUGUAAUUACACUCUCACUUGCAUGGCAACUAAAAAGCAUAUGUUUCCAUGGCAACUAAAAAGCAUAUGUUGCCAUAUGGCAGCCAAAAUCAUGUGAACUUCCUGUUAAGUUUUAUAAAUUCUAUGUCAACUAAAAAGGAUAUGUUGACAUGGCAACUAAAAAGCAUAUGUUGUCAUGACAAAUAGGUUGCCAUGCCGACUCAACUUAUGUUGCCAUGACAAAUUAAAUCACAUAUUAUUUUCCAUGGUAAUAAAGCAGUAUAUAUUACCACGGGUAGCUCCAUGGCAUAUUGGAGUUGGGAAUUUUCAUAUGUAUUUUUCCAUGGCAAAGUUUAAUAUGUAUCAGCCAUGGCAAUUUUUGUUUAUAACUCUGUGUUUACAUUGUUCAUUAUUCUAUUUUCAAUGGCAAUUUCCAUAUAAAGCAUGGGCCAUAUUAAGUAAAAUACCACAACAUAUUCUAAUACGUAUCUGCCAUGGCAUUUUUGUUCAUUUUCCUGUUUUUUUUGCCAAGGCAAAUUCUAAUAUGCAUCUACAUUUUUCCCAGGGGAACAAAAGCAUUUAUAGUUGUCAUCUAUUAAAAGAAAAAAUUUCCUCUUUUUUUCUUUUCCAUCCUUCCGCAAAAGAAAAUGUUGGCAAAUUCAUGUGGGCCCAUAAAAGCAUUUUUUGCCAAGCAAAAAAUGUUCAUGGAAUUCUUAUAGUUUUUUUACCAUGGAAAAUUUUUGUAAUUGACGCUGGAAAUUUAGUUUAUUGACCAUGGCAAAUUGUAAGUACUUUAUCGACCAUUGCAUAUUCAGUAGUUGACCCUGGCAAAAUGAGUUUAUUGACCAUAGAAAAAUUUAUUUAUUGACCGUGGCUAGUUUCUUAAUUGAUCAUGGACAAAUUUAAGUCUUUUUUCAAUGGUAGCAAAUUUGACUAAUUGACCAUGGCAAAUUUUAAGUCCUUCCUCGGUAUGGUAAAUUUCGUAAUUGACCAUGGCAGAUUUAAUUUGUUGACUAUGGCAAAAUUUAAGUCCUUUUUUGGUAUGGUAAAUUUAGAAAUUGACCAUGGCCAAUUUAGUUUAUUGACCAUGGCAAUUUUAAUUACUUCUUCGACCAUGGAUAAAAUUAGUAAUUCACCAUGGCAGUUUUUUUGAUAGAUCAUGGCAAAUCGUUAAUUGAGCAUGGCAAAUUUUAGUAGUUGACCAUGGUAAAAUUUUAGUAAUUAAGCAUGGCAAAUUUAGUAGAGCAUGGCAAUUUUGUAUUAAUUGACCAUGGGAAAUUUUACGUACUUUUUUGACCAUGACAAAUUUUGUAAUUAACCAUGGCAAAUUAUUUGGUUGAUCAUGGCAAUUUUUAGUAAUUGACCAUAGAAAUUUUAGUAAUUGAGCAUGGCAAAUUUGUAGUAAUUGACCAUGGCAAAUUUUAAGUACUUUUUCGACCAUGGCAAAUUUGUAGUAAUUGACCAUGGCAAAUUUUAAAUACUUUUUCGACUAUUGCAAUUUUUCGUAAUUGACCAUGGAAAAUUAUUUAGUGGAUCAUGGAAAAUAUAGUAAUUUAGUAAUUGAGCAUGGAAAGUUUGUAGUAAUUGACCAUGACAAAUUUUAAGUGCUUUUUCGACCAUGGCAAAUCUAUAAUACCUAAAUUGUUCAUCCCCUCUAAACUAAUUCUCUUGACAUGCACCCUAUGCACAUCAAUAGCCCCACUACCUCAUCACCCUUGCUAAGUCAUUUCUUUUUACAAAAGGAUUCCUCCGCAGCACAACAUAAAGGUUCAAACCUGUGUGUCCAACUAACUUUAUUACUUUCCAUUGACGAGGAUUAACACUCCACUUCCUUCCUAUGCAUCAACUUCCACUCCCAUUUCUCCUUUGGCUCAGCCACGAACCUUCCUGUUAACACCCUCACAAAGUCAUACCAAUUGAUGGCAUGCAGCCCCCCAUCUCAGCAACCUGCUACCUCACCAAAAACUGCAAUUUGGUGAAGCCAAAUCAUCCUAUGGCUCACUUAUCUACCCCUCCAUAUCUGAAAUAGUUGUUGGCCUCUUGCGUCCCCCUUCCUCAUUACUCCUUCAUCAUGUUCGACUACACAUCCACCUUCUUGCAUUCCUUUUGGUAAUGAACACUUCCAAUCAAUGCAAGAAAAUGAAAAGUAUUUUCUGGCAGCCUAUUUAUUCUGGUAUCUCCAUCUUCCUCUCCUGCCGCCAUCGCACGGAUGCGAGCUCCUCCGCUCUCGCCCACGGCCAGAUCCGCCAGUGCCCCGCUGCCGGCGACCAGAACCAGUAGGACUGUCGCGUCCCUCCUCCUCUGUUUCCUUCCCGUCCUUCUCCUUUCUCCUCUGUCUCUCUCUCCCUCCCUCACGCAUCAUCUUCUCUUUUCAGGUACUUCUACAGCAGCCCCGCCAUGGACCUCAAGCCACCGGCCGUUCAACCAAGGCCUUCCUAGGAUCCGCGACCCUGCCUCCUCAUCGCACAUGCCCGGCCGCGCCACCGGAGCUCCCCUGCAGGUCGCGUGCCCGUCGCCAUCACCCUCUCUUCUUCCCCUAUCCAUUCUACUCUAUCCUCUCUGAAUACCUCUCUCUCUAUUCAAGUGCAGAUGCAGUGCUCCCUGCCACCCGCUGCUGUUCUUCGCGUCGCCCCGCGCUCCGCCUCGCCUGGUCGCCUGCCUACGGGGCCGUGGUGGGUUUUUCUGUUAGAUCAGAUCUGAUGGCCAUUUUUUGUUCCCUCUUUGUAGAUAUCAGCUCUCUCCUUCAAAUCGGCUCAAAUGGCCACCUUUCUUCAUUUCUCUGUCUAUGUCUAGACAUGAACCAUAUCUCAUCCUCUUCUUGUUGGCUUGUUGGUUUUGUAACUCAUGAACGAAUAUAAGUUGGUAGGCUUUGAUGUGAACAAGCAGGGUGGGACUAUUAAUUGAAACAUGCGAUGAGAUAGCAAGCGAACGGACGAACGAACACGAGCGCAUAGUGCUUGCGAAGGCCCAUCGGUGAAAAACGAUCGAAUCAUUUUUCUCAAGUGGCUCACGGCCCACAAAAGGCCUAGCAGUCCAGCCAGUAGGCCCAGUCAAUGGACGAAAAUUAUGGGAGCAAGGUGGACGGACCCCAAAUUAAUACCACCUCGUUUAUAUUACGAUUUUGUCUAUACAAACCAUAAAAACAUAUUAUGACAUGAAAAUAAAGCAUAUUGUGAUGGUGAACCCAAGGACUCAAUCCGUGCUUUAUUAUUAGGGAAAGAUAUGAUCAAUGCAAAAUGCAACUUUAUAACACAGGAGCAUAUGCAUGAGGAGAGUUAAUAAGAUGGCAUGUUGGAGGUACGAAACAAAGAUGCUACAGCAAUUAUACAUAGCAACCAAGGGCAUGGCAUCAUAGUACACAUAACAAAUAGCAAAUAAUAUCAUGGCAUCAUAUACAUAUGGCUCAUGGAUUAGUGGGAACCAACAUGACAAGAUGGAAUGUUGAAACAGCUUCAGCAAGUGUAAAAAUAGCAACAUUAUGAUAGCAUGUUUGCAAGCAUGGAACAGAGGCAUAUGUCAUCCACAAUUUAAAACAUUGGCAUGUGAACAAAUUACUCAUAGCAUACUUCAAAACAUGUAAUUGGAGAAAAUCCAGAAGAGGGGUGAAUCAAUCAAUAACAAGCUCACAACAAGGCAUCAUGAAGUUAACAGAAUACUGGAACAACAUAUAGGCAUGUUCAUGGCAAUGAAAACAUAUGCUACAGGACAUAUAUACGGCAUCCAAAGGCAUGUCAUGAUAGAGCAUAACAUGGACAUCAAAACAUGUCAACAAAGUAUCUCCAGAUUGUGCAUGGUUUAAUUGGUCGCAUCAAGCCAACAUGGCAUCAUGAUAUGACAGAUUCAACAUUGACGGAACAUUAACAGCGAGUAGCCCACUUCACAAGCUUGAUGCACUCACUAAAAGGCAUAUAAAAAUACAUGGAUUGCAUUCCUGUAAAGAUGGCGUAUAUAUGCUUCUAAACCAUGUAGACAUGAUGCUCAAAAGAAAACCACACAAAAAGAUAUAAAAAUGACAAAUAGGCAAGUUAUAACAAUUUUCAGCAGUUAACAGCAACAUGCUUUUUUUGCAACAGAGAUUAAGAUAUCAAGAUGCACCCUAACAUGGAUGCAGAGCACACCAACAUGUAGAGCAUGAAGAGCAGAACAUUAACAUAUCAAGAUCAUCAUUAUAGGAUCAACAGAGACAAAGUUACACCACUCAUAGGAUGCAUACAUGAUGUUAACAAUCAGUAGAUUACAUCAGUUUAUAUCACUUAGAAGUUUUAUAACGAUGAUUAAGGCAUCAAUAUGAACAGCAACAUGAAUGAAAAAUGCAACCAUCAUGUAGAGCAUGAAGAGGCGAACAGUUUGACAUAUCAUGCACGCAAAAUGGGGCAAUAUGCAUCAAGUUAUGGACAUGGCAAGAUGCACACAUGAAAUGAUUUUAGGAAAAGACGAUGAAAAAAACAACCUCGUGGAAAAGGCUAGACAGGGACGUGCGGGGACGGAGCGGUUCGGGACGGCACAGGCGCCGUUUGGGUCGAUGGUUGCUGGCNNNNNNNNNNNNNNNNNNNNNNNNNNNNNNNNNNNNNNNNNNNNNNNNNNNNNNNNNNNNNNNNNNNNNNNNNNNNNNNNNNNNNNNNNNNNNNNNNNNNNNNNNNNNNNNNNNNNNNNNNNNNNNNNNNNNNNNNNNNNNNNNNNNNNNNNNNNNNNNNNNNNNNNNNNNNNNNNNNNNNNNNNNNNNNNNNNNNNNNNNNNNNNNNNNNNNNNNNNNNNNNNNNNNNNNNNNNNNNNNNNNNNNNNNNNNNNNNNNNNNNNNNNNNNNNNNNNNNNNNNNNNNNNNNNNNNNNNNNNNNNNNNNNNNNNNNNNNNNNNNNNNNNNNNNNNNNNNNNNNNNNNNNNNNNNNNNNNNNNNNNNNNNNNNNNNNNNNNNNNNNNNNNNNNNNNNNNNNNNNNNNNNAAGGCGGCGGCGCGGCGUCCGGCGCGGGCGGCAAGGGACGACCGAGGCGGCGGGGACGGAUGGGCCGUGCGGCGGCGAGAUCCGGGCCCACGCGGGUCCGGGAUGGACUCCACGGGCCGUCGGCGCGGGGAGAGAGAGGAGGAACACGUGGCGGCGUGUGGUUGGAGGAGAGCGGCGGUGGGGUGAUGUGGCGGCUUGUGGUUGGCCUGGGCGACGUGGCCGGCGGACAUGUCCAGCGUGCGAGGAUUUGUCCGGCGGCGCGAGGAGGAAGAUUCCUAGGGUUUGUACCGCGAAUUUCGGGGGAGGGGACUUAUUUAUAGGUAGAGGGAGCUAGGAGAGUCCAAAUGAGGUGCACUUUUCGCCAACACGAUCGUGAUCCAACGACGGAGAGCAUGGAGGGGGCUUAGAUGAGUUAGUGGGCUGUUGUGAAGAGGUGCUGGGCUGCAAAGAGAAGGGGUCUGACGGUUAACGCGGUUAACCGUAGGGGCAUCAAAUGACCUCCAAAUGGAACACAAUUUGUUAGGCGGUCUACAAGUGAUGUACCAAGACCACUCGUCAACUCUCGGCCCAUUCCGAGAACGUUUUUCUGCGGCUUACAAAAUGAGAACUGGGAGGUGCGACAGGUGCACGUGAGAGUGUUUGAAUUCGAAACGGACAAUGGAGAUGCAAGUUUUGAAAAACAUGCAGAUGAAAUGCAGAUGAUGACAUGACAAAAUGCAACACGCAAGCAAAAGACAUUGCUACAACGGUGAAUAACUGGAAGACAACUGGCGCAUCGGACUCGGGGCGUUACAAUCUGGCACUCUUUCUUUGGCAUGGCCGGAUCACACAAUGAUAUCAACGUGCUUCAGCGCUCGCCGGUGUUUGCUAGGCUUGCCGAAGGAUACUACUUGGGUGACAGUAUCUAUCCUCAGUGGACCAUUAUUGUCAAGACAAUACCCAACCCUGUGGGGGAGAAGAGAAAAAGAUUUGUCCAAGAGCAAGAGAGUGCUCGGAAGGAUGUCGAACGUGCCUUUGGUGUUUUGCAAUCUCGAUGGGGUAUCGUUCGGUAUCCUGCUAAUACUUGGAGCACGCAGAAACUUUGGGAGGUGAUGACUGCUUGUGUGAUCAUGCACAAUAUGAUCGUAGAAGACGAGCGCCCGGAACGUCUAUACGAUCAAGGGUUUCAGUUUCAGGAGAAUGUUGUGCCUGAGCAUGAAGGAGCGGCAAUGUUUGAACAAUUCACCCAAUUUCAUCAUGGCAUGCGUGAUUGGAAAACUCACGUGCAACUGCAAAAUGAUUUGGUUGAGCGUAUGUGGGCUCAUGUUGGCAACCAAUAGAUAUAUCUUCUUUUAUUCGUUUGCAAAACUAUGUGAGAACUAUGUGAGACAUUUUUAUUUUUAUUCGGCUUGUAAAACUAUGCUAUUUUAUUCGGUUCAAACUAUGUUAUUUGACUAUAUAUAAAAAUGCAAAUUCAUCAAUGCAAAAUAGGGCGGCCAGCCGGCCAGGCCGGCACAUAUGAGUCGGCGUGUUGGGCGCAUUGCCGACCCAUAUCUAAAAUAGGGCGGACGGCCGGCCCAAACGGACAAAAAGCGAACGAAAUCGCCGUCCGUUUGGGUCGCCCCAUUGGAGCUGCUCUGACCAUCUACCGACGUUGGAUAAUGUGGCCAAAAGAAACGGGCCCGUGGAUGGAACUUGUGCUAUUUGUGGUUUAGGGUAAAACGCAAAUCACGUGUUUUUCGGCUGUGCUCUCGCUAGAUUUGUGUGGAGCGCUGUUAGGGAUACAUUCAAGCAAAGCUGGAACCCACUCUCUAGCGAUGACCUGCUUACCUUGCUAACGGCUCAAAGGGGCGCUAACGUUAGGAUUGUUUGAAGAUGCGUAGGGGUGCCGCUUUGGUCGUUUUGGUAGGUUCGGAACAAAAUUACGAUUGAACAAAAGUUUUCUGCUCACCCAGUUGAUAUUAUAUUCAAAUGUCACAUUUUUCUAUAGACUUGGGCGUCAUUGGAAAAGACGCGUGAUGCGGACCGCAUGGACCGGAUCACGGAGCAGAUCAAGAUGACUAUGGAAGGCACGGCAAACUAAUACGCCAGUUUGAGACUUUUGCGAUGAGCCUGUUUGAUGUUUAGUUGGCCUUUUGGGCUUUUGGCUCAUGUUAUGUUGGCUUGAAACUGCUCUUAUUUAGCCUAGACUAUGCCGGGUUGUGAGGCCCGAUGUUUUACCUCUGUUUGGUUUGUAUGUUUGAAACUAUGUGUGGAUGCUGCCUAGUGGCUUUAUUAAUUUAAAGCCGGACGCCUCUAGCGCCUCCGUUAAAAAAUAUAAAAAACAUCAUAUAUGACUGUGAGGAAUAGACAUAUCACAAAAAUAGACUGCCAGAAACACUUAGUGCGUGAGAUGGUUGGGAUUAGGCUCAAUUUUACUUGUCCUAAAAUGUGUAAUCAAGGAACUCAAAUAAAGAUUCAGGUGAUCUGAUUGAGCAAUUGUGGGCAUUUCAUAUGGCAAUUAGAACAUGUGUGCCGAUAAAUUCAAUUCAAUUAUGAACUAGUUUAGUUCAAAACAUUAUGUUUGGAUUGUAAUAUUUAUAUUUUAACGACUAGUAAAAGCACCAGAUGUUCAACAAGUUUUUUCAUAUAUCGAUCUCAAAAGCAAAAGAACCCGAUGUAUGUGCCAAAGACCUCAAUUUUUGGCCUCCUUUUGACCCACCAUUUGCGAAAAGCAUUUCAACAUGCUAGCCUGGUAGUGUUGAACAUACUUGGCGCAUCGGGAUCCGAGUCAGACGCCUUCACGUACAACAUCUUGAACUCCUUGGAAGCGGCCUUCAUCGCAAGCUUACUCUAGAGGUUCAUCAUCUUAUUUGCAUGCCCAUGAGACAUGCCAAACCUCUCUGACUUAUUUUCCACCCUCACCCCAUAGCGCUUGGAAUAUGCCCCAUCCUUAUUCGCCAUGAUGUCCUCGUACUUCUCGGUCAUCGUGGUCGCCACCCCUUAUUACUCUUUUUCCUGUUCUCCCAACCCCCCCCCCUUUCUAGCAACAUGUGUUGCCAAUACAAUCCCUCCUUUUUGUUGCACCCGUUGGAUCACCAUCUUCAUCGUUUUAUUUGCCCAUGGCAGUCUUGAUGGAAUGGGCAAUAUAAUGUUGCUACUCUUGCUUUGCCCAUUCAACUUCAUCCAACAAUGCAUCAAUGUAAAGGUCUUCUUCUCCGUCUUUUCGUUCAAUGUGCGUGCACGUGUGGGCUAGCAAACUAAUACAAUGACGUGAUCACCAUGUUAUUAAAGGAAGACAAUGGGAUUGAGCAAAUCAAUCAAAUGACCAACACAACAUGAAGCAAAACAUGCGAGCUUGAGGAGUGACCCACCAAUUGGCCACCGCGUUUGGACUUGUGGAUACACACCNNNNNNNNNNACAUGUGUUGCCAAUACAAUCCCUCCUUUUUGUUGCACCCGUUGGAUCACCAUCUUCAUCGUUUUAUUUGCCCAUGGCAGUCUUGAUGGAAUGGGCAAUAUAAUGUUGCUACUCUUGCUUUGCCCAUUCAACUUCAUCCAACAAUGCAUCAAUGUAAAGGUCUUCUUCUCCGUCUUUUCGUUCAAUGUGCGCGCACGUGUGGGCUAGCAAACUAAUACAAUGACGUGAUCACCAUGUUAUUAAAGGAAGACAAUGGGAUUGAGCAAAUCAAUCAAAUGACCAACACAACAUGAAGCAAAACAUGCGAGCUUGAGGAGUGACCCACCAAUUGGCCACCGCGUUUGGACUUGUGGAUACACACCGUAAAACAUGUUGAUGGCCUCUUGAAUAGUGUAGCAUAAAUGUCUUACCAACUUAUGUCGCGAUCAUUGACCACUUUCGUGUGGUAGGGGUCGUGGAAAUUUUUCUCAUGAAACCUAUCAUGUGCACUUUGCCCAAAUGUCGAGCCUUGUUGCUCUGUGCCUUGAAACGGACACACUAGUGACCAAAGAUGCCUCUAAUGAGUGUAGUUUUACACUCAUUUCCAUCAUUAUUUAAAGAGGGUAUCCCAUAUAUUAUGAAAGAAUCACUCCGAUACUAUUGCUAAUGACUAAUAAAAAGCAACAAAAUUUGCAAGUACCUUCAUUUAUUUUGUUUCCGUGGAAAUGGGCCAUUUGAAGGAAGGUAGAGCAUAUAUAGGAAAUAUGAGGUACGGUGAUUAACCCCAAGAUAUCAGAGCCACAGAGACGCAACUAGGAGAGAAGACAGCGCCUGGUACUAGUGCACUUUCUCAUACCAGCGCUCGUACCCACUAACGUCGCUCUGAGGCAUCAACGAAACCAACUUUAGAAAAGGGUCAAGGCCCAUUCGUAAUAGAGCGUCUUGCAAAUCAUCCAUGAGAUGAGAGGAGUCAGAAACUCUAAGCCAUGACACCACCAUCCAUAUCCAUAGCCGCCGCCAUUCGCAUCUCAAUUCCCAUCUAUGUAGCAAUCAUCCCGAGCAGUUUUUCGUAGUUUGUAACUAGUGUAUGAAUCAUUCAUCUUCAAAUUUGAUCUACAAUGUCUUUCUUGUUUGAUUCGUAUGCGAUGUGUGAGUAGUCCACUUGAGCUAUUGGUUGAGGCAUAGCCUUGCAACCCCAUGUACUUUUGCACAUGAUUGUUGGUACUGAUUUUAAGAUCAAACGUAUUUAUGUGUAUCACAUCACAUUUGCCGCUUGUCUCUUUCUCGUUCUAAGACCCGGGAGUACUUGGGAUCCCAAGGAACGGUCAAGGAGGAGGUGAAGUGCAGGAAUGAGUGGAAGGCUAUGCAAAAAUCCGGUGAGAGUAAGGACAAGUACGGCAGCUGAAAGCAACUCCCUGGGGAAACGUGAGGUGCGGUCACCAAAUGCCCAAUGUGUUGGUCUGGGAAAAUCAUUCAUAAUUGAGGUAACCGGGCGAGAUGGCAAGGGCCUUGGUUGGACAAUUUAAUAACGAUGCAGUUGUUGGCCAGUCAUGGAAUCAUUAGGAUGCAUCCCCCACAUAUACACAUUGACAAAACAUGGCGGUGAUGUCUACCAGGACCAUGUUGAAUAUUUAGAUGAAAUCCCAAGGGCAAGUUUACGAAUGCAAGCUAAUACCUUACACCCUUUCCUAUUUUCCUAAUAUUGUUGUCUCUCUACACCUAUGCAAUUUUGGUCUGGUAAACUGAAACUCUUAGUGAUGACAAAAACUUGCAAGAAUCACCUCUUAGUUAGCAAUUCUUCAUGUGUGUUCGAUACCCAAGGUCAUCAUCUUUGCGUAAAAGGCAGGUACUAUCUCCAUCCGAAAGCAAAUCAAAGGUAAUCAACUCUUUUUCUGGCACCAUUACUAAGGAAGCAUCUCUGCAACCCCAGUUAGGUGACUAGAGUUUUUGUUUUAGAUUUUUUUNNNNNNNNNNNNNNNNNNNNNNNNNNNNNNNNNNNNNNNNNNNNNNNNNNNNNNNNNNNNNNNNNNNNNNNNNNNNNNNNNNNNNNNNNNNNNNNNNNNNNNNNNNNNNNNNNNNNNNNNNNNNNNNNNNNNNNNNNNNNNNNNNNNNNNNNNNNNNNNNNNNNNNNNNNNNNNNNNNNNNNNNNNNNNNNNNNNNNNNNNNNNNNNNNNNNNNNNNNNNNNNNNNNNNNNNNNNNNNNNNNNNNNNNNNNNNNNNNNNNNNNNNNNNNNNNNUUUUUUUAAUUUCUUUUUCUUUUGUAGGUUUAUAAUAACACAAAAAAAUAUCAUGGCUAAAAAGAUUUGGGAGUUUGCAAAUCCCAGUGAAACUUUAUGAGUGCAUGUAUUGCAUUUCCUAAUGUUGCAAACGAGUAAUUUGAAAUUAAACCUCAUCUUGUUACAGUGGUUCAACACAACCAAUUUGGAGGACACAGCCUCGCAAGGCCCCCACUUUCAACCCUUUCUCUCCCUCUCUCACGACCUGAGAAACAAGAGCUGAGUCGGCGCCUAGAGCACACAGAGUGGCCACCAUUCUCCGCCCUCAUGCUAGGAGCCUCCCCUUGCCAAGAGACCUUUCAUCCUGGAAUUGUCUCGUCACAUGCUUCACUCUCACAAGAAGAAUUGAGGAGAGAGACCCUAAAUAGAGCACAUAGACAAUGACAUAUCUGCAUCUGGUGACCGCCACAUAAUUCUUCUUCUCCCACAAGCCCAUCUCUCCUUAUUUGCUUCCUGAGAGAGGCACAAACUCCCGAAAGCUAAUGGUGGCCCUGCACAAUGGCCCACAACAAGAGGAUGCACACACAGAUAUGGCCAGAGAGGGUUGCAAGGUUGCCAUGCCAACAACAAAGGUGGCACACGGGCUUGGGAGGUGGGGAACUGUGACCUGGAUGAAGGUUGCAUGGACACAAGAUUGGGCAUGGACUUAGUGGACAUCCCGUGGAUAUGGAGAGGUUGGGAGGAGGGAGGAGUAGGAGACAUACGGACGGUGGAGGCUCUCAUGGAGGAUCCACCUGACAGGGAGGAGAGAGAGGGGGGAAACUGGCACUACAUGCCACGACCAACACACCCUUAAAAAUUUGGACAUUUCCACGCAUGGGGCCCAGUGGUGCCUCUGUUGCCGCCGAGCAUGCGCUCUUGGCACGGUCUUGUCGGGCAGAGAAACUAGCUAGAGCUAGAGGACGACCUGGCACAUGGGUCCUAAGGGAAGGGUAAGUGGGAUAUUUUUUUAUUUGUUUGUUCAACAUGGGUCCCACUUGUAAGGGAGAGGAAAGGUAGUUUUUCCCCUUGUUUCCUUUUUUACCCAGAUGGAAACUACCACUAUCAGGAGCAUUUUGGAAAAACUUCACGGUCAAAGGCAUUUAACAUGAUACUUACGCGCAUGUUCCAAGGGUUAUACCCAAAAAGAAGGUGAAUAUUUAUUUGAUACUUAUGCGCCUGUGGCCAGAUUGACCACCAUUGGAGUAAUACUCUCAUUGGUUGCCUCACACAAUCUUCUCCUUCAUCAAAUGUACACUAAGACAAUUGUCCUAAAUAGAGAGUUGGAGGAGGAAAUUUACAUCGAACAACCUGAUGGUUCUGUAGUGGAUAGUCAUAAAGGAAAAGUGUGUAAGUUGUUGAAUCUUUGUAUAGCUUAAAACAAGCACGUAAGAGAUGGUACGAGAAGUUCAAAACAACUUUUUCAUCUACUAGCUUUGUUGCCAACAAAGCCAACAAGUGUGUGUUCUACCGCCAGGGUGGGGGCGAGGGAGUUAUAUUGUGUUUAUAUGUUGACGAUACUUAUAUUUGGAACAAACCUCAUGGUCAUUGAGGAAGUGAACGAUUUUCUAAAUCAAAGCAUUGAGAUGAAAGAUCUUGAAGUAAUUGAUUUUGAACAUCAAGCUUUUGAGAGGUGGUGAUGGUGGGAUCACUUUUUUACAGUCUCACUAUGUGGAGAAGGUUCUGGAUCGCUUUUGAGAGGUGUUGAUUCGAAAUAACAAAUGGGAAGAACAAAUAAGAAACAAAGGAUCAAUUGAGAUAUUCUCAAAUCAUUGGGUCGCUUCUAUAUGUAGCUAGUACUACAAACCCAUGAGAUGUUCAUUAGCAUGCUCUUGAGAGGAUAAUGCGUCAUGUGAAAAGUACUAUGAAUUAUGGACUUCACUCUACCGAGUAUCCAAGAGUACUUGAGGGUUAUAGUGAUUGAAAUUGCAUAUCUUGUGCUGAUGAGCUUAAAGCCACGAAUGGUUAUGUGUUUACACUUGAUGGUGUUGUUGUUUCCUAGAAGUCUUGCAAGCAGACCAUCUUAAUAACGUCUACAGUGGAAGCAGAACUCACAACAUUAGACACAACAACUGUUGAAGCAGAGUGGCAUCAAGAACUUUUGAUGGACUUGCGGAUGGUUGAUAAACAAAUACCAGCUAUCGUCAUGGUGGUUGAAGCAGAGUAGAUCUUUAUAAAAACAAAUAAACUCUGGUAAUAAAAUAGUAAUCGUCAAGGUAAACAGUUCUAAGGAUAAUAAGAAGUCAUCCAGACAUGUGAGAAGGAGACUGAAAUAUGUCAGAUUUAUGAGAAACUCCGAAGGUAUGAAUUGGAAAUAUAAACACAUCAAAGAAUCUGGCAGAUCCCUUCACAAAGGGUUUAUCACAAAAUGUUAUAGACACCACAUUUAAGGGGAUGGGUUUGAGACCCACUACAUAAGUUGUUCAUGGUGAUAACUCAUUCUAUGUGAUCGGAGAUCUUGUGAAAUAGAAUUGGAAAUACAAGCUAUUUGAUAAAUGAGAGGAGAAUAUUUAUUUUAUAAAGAUCCACUCCGCAUGACACAAUUCUCUAUGACCAGCUGAUAUUUAUCUUCAUGUGUUCUAAAUGGCUUGGGUAGGCAAAGAUGUUGUCCUACAAAACAUCUAGAAAAAACACACCUAUAUGAGUUAGACUGUUAAAUUUUGCAGUCUGUGAGAGUUGGGCACUCUCUAAUAAACUUGUGAAGAUCCCCAGGAGUAUGACAUAUAUGCUCCUACUCAGAGGAAAGUUUUCAGCACUCUAAUAUCAGUCAAGACUUUUACGUAAAAGUCAUUUGCACAAAACUUGCAGUUCAAGGAGUAGUCCAUUGUUCAAGUUGUGACCAAGUAUAACGUGGAGUUUUAAGUGUAAGUUCAACUUACCAGUCUCCACCAAAACACUAGUAUAUAAACAAUGUUUUGGAACUAUUGGAAAGUUUUAUGUGGCUCGAAUCUGGUGGGAGAUUGUUGGAAUUAUUGGGCCUAGGCCACUUAAUAUUUCAAAAUAUUGUCAAUCAUUCAUUGUUAAUCCUAGAGGCCUGGCCCAUUCAUGCAUGACAAGGUGGUGUGAAAAGUUUAGUCUCGCCUCACUAGUGAAGAAUGUAUGAGACAAACUUAUAAUUGCAGCAAGGUAUUAUAGUGCGCCAUGUUUCGUAAUCGAGCCGGGCCGCGCUUAGGACCUAGCUAUGCCACGUGUAUGUGCUGCUUUAUUUUUCUCUCGUAAGAAAUAAGUUGAAACGAUUGCCUACUAGUGAGAGAUGAAAAUUGACAGACUCAGACGGUUUCCUCUUCGUCACCUUAGUGGUAUUAGUGUGCCCGUUUCUCUUCCACCACCGAGGGUUCAGUUUCAUCUUGUCUCGCCUAUAAGAGGUCACUCCUCUUCCCAAACGAAAUACACUUCCAUUCCCUCGUUCUAGAGCAUUGUGUCGCUUACCCCUUUCCCAUCUCGAUCCCCGACGUGCAAAGGGGAGUGGGACGGCAGCCUUCGAAACCUCGCCUCUUGUGAUCUGGUACGGUAGAGGGGCUAUUGAGUUUUUGGGGAGCGCCCUUGUGCGACUACUGGAUCCUUGUUCCUUAUGGGUGCAAACGACGACAUCGCUGAUGACGAGUUCCCUAAUGACGAGUUCUUCCCUGACAUCAACCGUCUCCUCGGUAACAUGACCAACGGCGCAUCUACAUCUACUUCCGUUGCUCCGUAUGUCAUGUUAUCCUCUCUGCUAGGGUUAAGGUUUGGCUUACUGCUAGUAGCAAUCGACAUGGAUAUGAUGCUUCUAGCUUAUGAUCUCGAUUGCCUGCCUAGCUUCAACAAUAUGUUGCUUGUUUCUAUUAUCAUCACUAUCAUAUUAUUCACGUUUAUCCACUAUUUUUCUGGAUUAAACUUAAUGGAAAAUUCCUCAAUCAUUCAACAACAAUUAUGACCGGAUCGGUGCUCAUACUAGAAAAUUAUUGUAGUUUGACUUUCAUGUAUUUCUUGGAUCCGCGGCGAAGCAUAGUCAUCUUAUUACUAUGUUAAGAUAAUUGUAAUUUCAAGAGAACUGGAGCAAAGAAAGACAUUUGGUGGAGUUGCUAGUCGGUGCUGAUGCGGCCAACCCCUAGGGUCUUUACUUCAUCUGGCGCUGACAACAACUACGUGACUAAGAAACAUGCUAAAAACGCACGGGGGUAAGAAACCAUGUCUCGAUGUAAACGUUUUUGCUCCAUGGCAAUGCACGGGCAUUUAGCUAGUAUUACCUCUGCAUCUUAAUAUAAGACAUUUUUGCAGUUCAAUUUAUGUCAGAAAUACAAAAAGAUACAGAGGUAGUAAGUUUUAGUGCAGGGACAAAUUAAGUAACAAUCCACAUAAACAAUGGCACCUUUCAUGGUCUACCACAAGAAUAUUGUUUCUAAAACAUUUAUUGGAAGGAGCAUCAUAUAUCAUAGAAGAUGUAAAGAGGUAUUACAACGACAAAACGGUUUAUCAGGAGAAUCUAUCAUUGUUCCCUUGUUUAGGGACUAGAGCAUGUCAUCCUUUCAUGCGUGUAGUUCUAUCGAAGAUUCAGGCGGCGGGCACUUGGGAUUGCACUUAGGGCAUUUAGACUUGCACUCAUCCAAAGUCUUGAAACAUGGGGUCUCCCGGAUGUCACAGCAGUAGCAGUCACCGAAGUCGC